AUAAUUAUAUAUGAACAGGCGAUAAAUAUUAAUUUAUGCAGCCGGGCUUACUUAAAAGCAGUGGAAAAAAACCAUGGGACAAUU
Molecule: non-coding RNA, 84 nt
Filed under: Clostridium sp.
Lineage: Bacteria; Bacillati; Bacillota; Clostridia; Eubacteriales; Clostridiaceae
Also listed under: 1 other name
Description: NiCo sequence
Rfam family: NiCo (Nickel/Cobalt) riboswitch aptamer
Source: RNAcentral